CCUGGUUUGGCUCAGUGGAAAGAGCAUUGGCCUGGGGACUCAAAGGUCCCGGGUUCAAUUCCCAUCAAGGG
This 71-nucleotide transfer RNA is filed under the name Myotis davidii. It matches the Rfam family "tRNA". From Rfam's summary of the family: Transfer RNA (tRNA) molecules are approximately 80 nucleotides in length. Their secondary structure includes four short double-helical elements and three loops (D, anti-codon, and T loops). The record is from Rfam by way of RNAcentral. Lineage: Eukaryota; Metazoa; Chordata; Mammalia; Chiroptera; Vespertilionidae.